CAUUAGAUGACUGAAAGCAAGUGUAGAUCUUUUAAAUCUAUUAUAGCAACCGCGGCUGCUUCUGAUGACCA
RNAcentral lists this transfer RNA (71 nucleotides) under Neocaridina denticulata sinensis. RNAcentral describes it as "tRNA-Lys". RNAcentral also lists the same sequence under 1 other name. The record is from RNAcentral. Lineage: Eukaryota; Metazoa; Arthropoda; Malacostraca; Decapoda; Atyidae.